AUAUAUGACCCUGUCACAGGGAACAUGUGGUCAUAGUUCCUGGCUGUUGAGUUGAGUCUAAUAAAUUAAAAGAAAUGAAGAUAUGAACGAUAUUUGGUUUUGACACUGCAUGUUUUCAUAAAUGAAAAAUGAAAUAGAGAACUAAUUGAACUUCGACCUAGUUAUGUUGAGGACUCCGCCAACGGGGGUAGAUACGUUGGCAAUUGACCGUCCUGAAGGACUCACCGCAAGAAGAUUAGUCGAUGUUUAUAAUCCUGCAACAGGGAACAUAUGGUCAUAGUCCAAGAUUGACA
RNAcentral lists this long non-coding RNA (293 nucleotides) under Phoenix dactylifera (date palm). Its description in RNAcentral is "long non-coding RNA (PDAC_LNC019697)". Lineage: Eukaryota; Viridiplantae; Streptophyta; Magnoliopsida; Arecales; Arecaceae. The record is from RNAcentral.